UGUUCUGGGAUGUUAACUCUCCUUCCAUUUCCCUCGCUCCUCUGUGGAAUGGAUGAUGUAUCCCACAGAGCCCACAGUUCAGCCGGGGACCCCCUCUCCUCUGAAGAGUCAGGUGCUGCUGGGAUUAAAGUGGUUAUAUCUGUGUGUGGCUCUGGAAGGAGGGUGUCAGGAGCUGCCCCGUCUCAGAAAGGAGUGCCUUGGGGACAAAGCGAAGGGAAGAGACACCAAGACAGGCAGAGCCAAGGAGGGCUGAGAUGCUCACAGACAUCGGAGACACCAAUGUCUUCCCUUGAGCCUGGAUUGGUCCUGAUGAGAAUGUAUGCCCAGAAGUUCUGCGGCUGAGACACACCAAGCUGAGACACCAAUGUCUUCCCUUGAGCCUGGAUUGGUCCUCAUGAGAAUGUGUGCCCGGAAGUUCUGCGGCUGAGACACACCAAGCUGAGGAACUUCCGGCUUCGUCUUGAUUGACACAUCAUAAUGCGGCAGCUUAAUGAAGCACAUUAGGGUACUUCUGUAUACGCAUUGUGGACUGAUCAAAUCAGGGAAAUUAUUUAUGGGGUAACACUUAUUACCUUAAAUAUUUGUUAUUUCUUUGUGAUGAGAUAAUGUAUGAAUGUGUGUGUGUGUCAUGAGUGUGUGUGUCUGCACACACCCCGUCUUCCAAACCUUAUUUUGAUAAUGUAGUAGACUGUCAAAAAA
Molecule: long non-coding RNA, 699 nt
Organism: Mastomys coucha (southern multimammate mouse)
Lineage: Eukaryota; Metazoa; Chordata; Mammalia; Rodentia; Muridae
Exons: 3
Source: RefSeq, a predicted model, not a curated record